UACGGGGGGGGCAAGCGUUGUUCGGAAUUACUGGGCGUAAAGGGCUCGUAGGCGGCCAACUAAGUCAGACGUGAAAUCCCCAGGCUUAACCUGGGAACUGCGUCUGAUACUGGAUGGCUUGAAUUCGGGAGAGGGAUGCAGAAUUCCAGGUGUAGCGGUGAAAUGCGUAGAUAUCUGGAGGAAUACCGGUGGCGAAGGCGGCAUCCUGGACCGACAUUGACGCUCAUGCACGGAAGCGUGGGGAGCAAACAGG
RNAcentral lists this ribosomal RNA (253 nucleotides) under uncultured bacterium. RNAcentral's name for it is "partial 16S ribosomal RNA". It matches the Rfam family "Bacterial small subunit ribosomal RNA", at positions 524 to 776 of the family's 1533-position model. The record is from RNAcentral.